RNAcentral lists this transfer RNA (53 nucleotides) under Tyrophagus putrescentiae. RNAcentral describes it as "tRNA-Gln". The record is from RNAcentral. Lineage: Eukaryota; Metazoa; Arthropoda; Arachnida; Sarcoptiformes; Acaridae.
GGAUGGGAGAAAGUGUAAAGCACAUUAGCCUUUGAAGCUAAAAGUCUCGUUCC